AUUGAACGCUGGCGGCAUGCCUUACACAUGCAAGUCGAACGGUAACAGGUUAAGCUGACGCGUGGCGAACGGGUGAGUAAUACAUCGGAACGUGCCCAGUAGUGGGGGAUAGCCCGGCGAAAGCCGGAUUAAUGCCGCAUACGACCUAAGGGUGAAAGGGGGGGAUCGCAAGACCUCUCGCUAUUGGAGCGGCCGAUGUCAGAUUAGCUAGUUGGUGGGGUAAAAGCUCACCAAGGUGACGAUCUGUAGCUGGUCUGAGAGGACGACCAGCCACACUGGGACUGAGACACGGCCCAGACUCCUACGGGAGGCAGCAGUGGGGAAUUUUGGACAAUGGGCGCAAGCCUGAUCCAGCCAUGCCGCGUGCGGGAAGAAGGCCUUCGGGUUGUAAACCGCUUUUGUCAGGGAAGAAAUCCUUUGGGUUAAUACCUCGGGGGGAUGACGGUACCUGAAGAAUAAGCACCGGCUAACUACGUG
This 477-nucleotide ribosomal RNA is filed under the name uncultured bacterium. Its description in RNAcentral is "partial 16S ribosomal RNA". It matches the Rfam family "Bacterial small subunit ribosomal RNA", at positions 30 to 507 of the family's 1533-position model. The record is from RNAcentral.